GACGAACGCUGGCGGCGUGCUUAACACAUGCAAGUCGAACGGAAAGGCCCUGCUUUUGUGGGGUGCUCGAGUGGCGAACGGGUGAGUAACACGUGAGUAACCUGCCCUUGACUUUGGGAUAACUUCAGGAAACUGGGGCUAAUACCGGAUAGGAGCUCCUGCUGCAUGGUGGGGGUUGGAAAGUUUCGGCGGUUGGGGAUGGACUCGCGGCUUAUCAGCUUGUUGGUGGGGUAGUGGCUUACCAAGGCUUUGACGGGUAGCCGGCCUGAGAGGGUGACCGGCCACAUUGGGACUGAGAUACGGCCCAGACUCCUACGGGAGGCAGCAGUGGGAAAUAUUGCACAAUGGCCGGAAGCCAGAUGCAGCAACGCCGCGUGCGGGAUGACGGCCUUCGGGUUGUAAACCGCUUUCGCCUGUGACGAAGAGUGAGUGACGGUAAUGGGUAAAAAAGCACCGGCUAACUACGUG
RNAcentral lists this ribosomal RNA (468 nucleotides) under uncultured bacterium. Its description in RNAcentral is "partial 16S ribosomal RNA". It matches the Rfam family "Bacterial small subunit ribosomal RNA", at positions 28 to 507 of the family's 1533-position model. The record is from RNAcentral.